Long non-coding RNA from Saccostrea cuccullata (small rock oyster), 856 nucleotides. RefSeq lists it as uncharacterized. The transcript is spliced from 2 exons. Lineage: Eukaryota; Metazoa; Mollusca; Bivalvia; Ostreida; Ostreidae. The record is from RefSeq and is a predicted model, not a curated record.
CGGGAAUAUAACUACAUGCCCUUUACAUUUUCCUCAUUGAAAGUUAUUUAAAUAUGCAUGACUGGAAGUCGUAAAAUCGGGGGACAAUUGACAGACACUGUAUCUGAGAGACCACGGUCCGUGACAGAGCGAGGGUCUGCCAAGUUUAAACUGUCACGUCAUUUGAAUUAUUCUCGCUGUUCAAUUUCUCCACCAUCCCAACUGGCUCAAUUCUCCUUUCCCCUUUGCUCAUCUUCGCUGAUUUAUACGUCAAAUUAGAUAUAUCAGAUCGAGCCUGACAAAGACAAAGCUCAAUAAGGAGAUGGCAUGGCGAAUUUUCCUUUUAUUCAAACUCUAAUUCAGCUGCAAAGGCGGUUUAUUGAUUAUGUGCUGUCAGUAAUCAAAUUAUUUAGAAAUGUCAGAAAGUGAAACUGUACCAAUACUGGACGAGCAGUGAUUUCUUGUAAACUUGAAUCACGGAAUUAAGAUAAAAAAUCUAUAGAAAAAAAUCACUCAAAAACAGGAUGGGCGGUGACACUACCCUCCAGGAGAACAUUGUAGCCGGGGCCUGCGUCCUAUUGGUGGUGGUGUUUAUCGUGUUUCUGUUAAUUGUGGCGCGGGCUAUCAUUGUUAAGUGGCCCAGACUGUCCCAGGAGGAGUUUUUGGAGGUGGAGCCCAUUGACCGACAGAUGGACGUGUGGUCAGUUCAGCAGUCUGAUUCCUGCGGCCCGACAGAGACCGAGGAGUUCAUCAAAUGAGGGAUUGACCAGUGUCGAGACAACUAUACACGUCUCUCUGCUUCCGUAAAAUCAAAAUAUUAAAUUAUUUUGCAAUGUUUCUGUAUAAUCCACAUACUGUCAAUAAAUAUCGGAUUUAA